GGAUAUGAGAUGUGAUCGCAUGGUCAUGUUUGGAAAGAUUUUUCGGUCUGGGAUGGGCUCGCGGCCUAUCAGCUUGUUGGUGAGGUAAUGGCUCACCAAGGCGUCGACGGGUAGCCGGCCUGAGAGGGUGACCGGCCACACUGGGACUGAGACACGGCCCAGACUCCUACGGGAGGCAGCAGUGGGGAAUAUUGCACAAUGGGCGGAAGCCUGAUGCAGCAACGCCGCGUGAGGGAUGACGGCCUUCGGGUUGUAAACCUCUUUUAGCAGGGAAGAAGCGAAAGUGACGGUACCUGCAGAAAAAGCGCCGGCUAACUACGUGCCAGCCGCCGCGGUAAUACAA
Molecule: ribosomal RNA, 343 nt
Filed under: Microbacterium testaceum
Lineage: Bacteria; Bacillati; Actinomycetota; Actinomycetes; Micrococcales; Microbacteriaceae
Description: bacterial SSU rRNA
Rfam family: Bacterial small subunit ribosomal RNA
Source: RNAcentral